Molecule: ribosomal RNA, 253 nt
Filed under: uncultured bacterium
Lineage: Bacteria
Description: partial 16S ribosomal RNA
Rfam family: Bacterial small subunit ribosomal RNA
Source: RNAcentral
UACGGGGGGGGCAAGCGUUGUUUGGAAUUACUGGGCGUAAAGGGCUCGUAGGUGGCCAACUAAGUCGGACGUGAAAUCCCUCAGCUUAACUGGGGAACUGCGUCCGAUACUGGAUGGCUUGAGUUUGGGAGAGGGAUGCGGAAUUCCAGGUGUAGCGGUGAAAUGCGUAGAUAUCUGGAGGAACACCGGUGGCGAAGGCGGCAUCCUGGACCAACACUGACACUGAGGAGCGAAAGCCAGGGGAGCAAACGGG